CUUUACUCCGUCGAUACAUAACAGUUAUCAGAAAUCAUAUUUGUCGAUAUUGUCUUUGUUGAAAAUGACACGCUCUGGCAAUAACACAAUGCCGUUACCUUUUGCCUCAUAGUGAUAUCCCUGCUCACUAUUAGGUGAAACGGUGACUUUGCCGAUGCCGGGAAUAUCCAGUGAAUCACCGACAUUCAUUGGCAUAUUUUUCAGCAACGCGUUGGCGACAUA
RNAcentral lists this small RNA (222 nucleotides) under Salmonella enterica subsp. enterica serovar Typhi. RNAcentral's name for it is "StyR-250". Lineage: Bacteria; Pseudomonadati; Pseudomonadota; Gammaproteobacteria; Enterobacterales; Enterobacteriaceae. The record is from RNAcentral.